CGGGUGUAGCUCAAUGGUAGAGCGUCGGCUUCCCAAGCCGAUAACGUGGGUUCGAUUCCCAUCACCC
RNAcentral lists this transfer RNA (67 nucleotides) under human gut metagenome. It matches the Rfam family "tRNA". From Rfam's summary of the family: Transfer RNA (tRNA) molecules are approximately 80 nucleotides in length. Their secondary structure includes four short double-helical elements and three loops (D, anti-codon, and T loops). The record is from RNAcentral.